CAGACUUCAAACCGAUGCCGAUAAAAUUAAUUAUGACAAUUAUGACGAACGACUAAUUGAUGUCACAAGUCUAAGGAGUAGCGUAGACACAAAAAUAAAGGAAAGUGCCCAGAAACAGAAGGAAUCUUUUGAUGCAAAAAGAAAAAAUGCACAUGAAUUUCAAGAAGGUGAUUUAGUAGUCAUAAAAAUACCGAGCCAAAAUAAUGAUGGACAAAGCACGAAAUUAUUACCGGUAUUCAAAGGUCCUUUUCAGGUAACAGAAGUUUUAGGUCAUGAUCGAUAUAAAAUAGCAGAUAUGAGAGGUGCCGACCGAUCAAACAAGCGAUACGAGGGUGUAACCUGUGUUGAAAACAUGAAACCAUGGAUACAUAUCAAGGACAUGGAUAUUUAAAGGUCAAGAAUGGAAACACGGAUGUUGUCAGAUAUGCACCAGACUAUAACGCAACCGAGGACGGAUGCGUGCGCAGGAUAGCCGGAUGUUGUCGCACAAAUAAAUAAAACUAAACAAAAUUGUAUAUAUAUAUUUAGGCAGUGAUAUAUUUAAGGUUUAUUAUGUGUUGAGCCGAUUUAUAUAAAAAGAUGUUAACAUGAUUAGUUAGGGUUAUUCCAGCACGGAAGUUCGUAACAAGGUUCGCAAGCAAGCCGAAUAGUUCCGAGUUUGCCCGAGCGAAGGUAACGAGUUUGAUGUUUUUGUACGGAGCGCCACUUUGUUCGGAACCUUCGUGCUGGUAACAUAUCUUGCUUAAACAUUGUAUUUGUUAGUCUUAAGAAUAUUGAUUAAAAGGCAUCUGUAUCGUGAA
Molecule: long non-coding RNA, 800 nt
Organism: Leguminivora glycinivorella
Lineage: Eukaryota; Metazoa; Arthropoda; Insecta; Lepidoptera; Tortricidae
Exons: 2
Source: RefSeq, a predicted model, not a curated record